CCUACGGGAGGCUGCAGUGGGGAAUAUUGGACAAUGGGGGCAACCCUGAUCCAGCCAUGCCGCGUGUGUGAAGAAGGCCCUCGGGUUGUAAAGCACUUUCAGUGAGGAAGAACGCCUGGUGGUUAAUACCCAUCAGGAAAGACAUCACUCACAGAAGAAGCACCGGCUAACUCCGUGCCAGCAGCCGCGGUAAUACGGAGGGUGCGAGCGUUAAUCGGAAUUACUGGGCGUAAAGCGCGCGUAGGUGGCUUGAUAAGCCGGUUGUGAAAGCCCCGGGCUCAACCUGGGAACGGCAUCCGGAACUGUCAAGCUAGAGUGCAGGAGAGGAAGGUAGAAUUCCCGGUGUAGCGGUGAAAUGCGUAGAGGUCGGGAGGAAUACCAGUGGCGAAGGCGGCCUUCUGGACUGACACUGACACUGAGGUGCGAAAGCGUGGGUAGCAAACAGGAUUAGAUACCCUAGUAGUC
Molecule: ribosomal RNA, 465 nt
Filed under: Vreelandella stevensii
Lineage: Bacteria; Pseudomonadati; Pseudomonadota; Gammaproteobacteria; Oceanospirillales; Halomonadaceae
Description: partial 16S ribosomal RNA
Rfam family: Bacterial small subunit ribosomal RNA
Source: RNAcentral